RNAcentral lists this transfer RNA (72 nucleotides) under Synechococcus phage S-SKS1. It matches the Rfam family "tRNA". Rfam says of the family: Transfer RNA (tRNA) molecules are approximately 80 nucleotides in length. Their secondary structure includes four short double-helical elements and three loops (D, anti-codon, and T loops). Further hydrogen bonds mediate the characteristic L-shaped molecular structure. tRNAs have two regions of fundamental functional importance: the anti-codon, which is responsible for specific mRNA codon recognition, and the 3' end, to which the tRNAs corresponding amino acid is attached (by aminoacyl-tRNA synthetases). tRNAs cope with the degeneracy of the genetic code in two manners: having more than one tRNA (with a specific anti-codon) for a particular amino acid; and 'wobble' base-pairing, i.e. permitting non-standard base-pairing at the 3rd anti-codon position. The record is from Rfam by way of RNAcentral. Lineage: Duplodnaviria; Heunggongvirae; Uroviricota; Caudoviricetes.
CGGGGUGUAGCGCAGAGGUAGCGCAUCGUUUUUGGGAAGCGAGGGUCGCAGGUUCGAUCCCUGCCACCCCGA